RNAcentral lists this ribosomal RNA (450 nucleotides) under uncultured bacterium. RNAcentral's name for it is "partial 16S ribosomal RNA". It matches the Rfam family "Bacterial small subunit ribosomal RNA", at positions 354 to 796 of the family's 1533-position model. The record is from RNAcentral.
GUGGGGAAUUUUGGACAAUGGGCGCAAGCCUGAUCCAGCAAUGCCGCGUGCAGGAAGAAGGCCUUCGGGUUGUAAACUGCUUUUGUACGGAACGAAAAGGCUCUGGCUAAUACCUGGAGCUCAUGACGGUACCGUAAGAAUAAGCACCGGCUAACUACGUGCCAGCAGCCGCGGUAAUACGUAGGGUGCGAGCGUUAAUCGGAAUUACUGGGCGUAAAGCGUGCGCAGGCGGUGCUGUAAGACAGGCGUGAAAUCCCCGGGCUCAACCUGGGAAUUGCGCUUGUGACUGCAGCGCUGGAGUUCGGCAGAGGGGGAUGGAAUUCCGCGUGUAGCAGUGAAAUGCGUAGAUAUGCGGAGGAACACCGAUGGCGAAGGCAAUCCCCUGGGCCUGCACUGACGCUCAUGCACGAAAGCGUGGGGAGCAAACAGGAUUAGAAACCCCUGUAGUCC